UACGUAGGUGGCAAGCGUUGUUCGGAAUUAUUGGGCGUAAAGCGCGUGUAGGCGGCUUUGCAAGUCGGGUGUGAAAGCCCUCGGCUCAACCGAGGAAGUGCGCCCGAAACUGCAGAGCUUGAGUACCGGAGAGGAUGGUGGAAUUCCCCAAGUAGAGGUGAAAUUCGUAGAUAUGGGGAGGAACACCGGUGGCGAAGGCGACCAUCUGGACGGAUACUGACGCUGAGACGCGAAAGCGUGGGGAGCAAACAGG
RNAcentral lists this ribosomal RNA (253 nucleotides) under uncultured bacterium. RNAcentral's name for it is "partial 16S ribosomal RNA". It matches the Rfam family "Bacterial small subunit ribosomal RNA", at positions 524 to 776 of the family's 1533-position model. The record is from RNAcentral.